RNA transcript from Brachypodium distachyon (stiff brome), 1774 nucleotides. It is a transcript of the gene named phosphatidylinositol:ceramide inositolphosphotransferase, with no coding region annotated. Lineage: Eukaryota; Viridiplantae; Streptophyta; Magnoliopsida; Poales; Poaceae. The transcript is spliced from 11 exons. The record is from RefSeq and is a predicted model, not a curated record.
UGAAUCCCUGGCAUCAGAUUACUACCCCCCCGCGUACGCGUAUAUAACUGAUGAAAACAUGGGCAGGUUGGAAAGGCCUAAUUUAAUUUCUUCCGGAGUGCACAUCAUCCGGCCUCUCGUCUCCUCCUCCGAACAAUCCGCCCUUCUCCGACCCCGGUUGCUGUUUUUUUAGUCCGUGCCACGCCACGCCGGCCAGCCGAGCAUUCUCUUCCGUUUUUAAUCUCUCUUCUUUCUCUCUGUCUCCCUUCCCUUCUCCUCUCUCCUCCUUCCUUCCUCUGCCGCGAGGAGGGGGGGAAAGAGAAGAAGCGGACGCCCACGGAGAGAAGAGGAGGAGGAGCCGGCCGGAGUAGUCAGUCCGUGGAGGAACCAGUUGCUCUCCUCCCUCCUUCGCUUCCGUUUCAGGCGCGCCGCCGCAGCCAUGACACCAUUCUACCUUGCGCGCAGUGCUUCCAAGGUGUUGAGGAGGAUCACCUCCGAGACGUCGGUCGAGCUCAAGAUCCUCUCCCAGAAAUGGCGCCUUCUCCUCGCGGGCGUGCUCUUCCAGUACAUUCAUGGUUUGGCAGCACGAGGGGUCCAUUAUUUGCACAGGCCAGGACCCACCCUUCAAGAUCUUGGUUUCAUGGUUCUUCCGGAGCUUGGGAAAGAAAGGGGUUACAUCAGUGAGACCUUAUUUACAUUCAUCUUCCUCUCCUUUGUGUUGUGGACAUUUCAUCCUUUCAUCCUUCAAACCAAGCGCUUCUACACUGUUCUUAUUUGGCGCAGGGUGCUUGCUUUCUUAUGUGCUUCUCAGUUCUUGCGUAUAGUGACAUUCUAUUCCACACAACUUCCAGGACCUAAUUAUCAUUGCCGUGAGGGUUCACCUCUUGCCAGACUACCACCACCACAAAAUGUAGCUGAGGUGCUUCUCAUUAAUUUCCCAAGAGGUGUAAUUUAUGGAUGCGGCGACUUGAUUUUUUCAUCCCACAUGAUCUUUACUCUGGUCUUUGUUAUAACCUACCAGAAAUAUGGGAGUAUAAGGUUUAUAAAGGUGCUUGCAUGGUGCAUAGCUGUUGCUCAGAGUCUUCUGAUAGUUGCUUCUCGCAAGCACUACAGUGUUGAUGUUGUCGUUGCAUGGUGGAUAAAUAAACAUUCCACUAUUGCAUGUGUCCGCAAUACCUUUUCUCGUCUUUGUUGAUGUAUCUCCUCUAUGCAGAUCACUCUGUUUGUCUCUUCAGAGCUUCCUGAUCGAUCAGCUGUAUCAGCAUCAGCACUACCUCUAAGUGUGAAGGAUAUCAAAUUGAAAGAAGAAAGCACUAGGCUGCUGAAUGGUAACUCUGUUGAGGCUGCUGAUCGGAGACCAAGAACACAAAUUAAUGGAAAGCCCCUUGAGAAUGGCAAUCAUCUUGAUACUGAAACAACAAUAACGUGAUGAUUAAUUUCAAUGGAAUGGUUCUGGCUAUUCAAAAGCCAUCCUUCUGGUGGUCUAGACAGGAUACUUUUAAAGGCAUCUACGCGCUGUGGUGCCUAGCACCUGUUAUGGCUUCAGUGGUAGUUCUGAAGAAAACAGUCUGGAGCCUUUUCUGAUUCUAGGUUGCAGAAAUUUUGUUCCAACACAAUCUUACUGUUGUCUCACCGUAACAACCCUUGCUUUCUGAUCUCUAGUUUUCUCUCUAAUUUCUCGACAUAUUCAUUUAUACGAAGUGUAUAUAGUCUGCACAUUACUGAGAUUCUUUGCAAAUUGUAGUCUCCUCGAAAUUCUAACAUGUCCUGCUCGGCACCUGCAUUCCAAAAUAAA